This 492-nucleotide ribosomal RNA is filed under the name uncultured bacterium. RNAcentral's name for it is "partial 16S ribosomal RNA". It matches the Rfam family "Bacterial small subunit ribosomal RNA", at positions 29 to 507 of the family's 1533-position model. The record is from RNAcentral.
AGUGAACGCUGGCGGUAGGCCUAACACAUGCAAGUCGAACGGCAGCACAGUAAGAGCUUGCUCUUACGGGUGGCGAGUGGCGGACGGGUGAGGAAUACAUCGGAAUCUACUUUUUCGUGGGGGAUAACGUAGGGAAACUUACGCUAAUACCGCAUACGACCUACGGGUGAAAGCAGGGGCUCUUCGGACCUUGCGCGAUUGAAUGAGCCGAUGUCGGAUUAGCUAGUUGGCGGGGUAGAGGCCCACCAAGGCGACGAUCCGUAGCUGGUCUGAGAGGAUGAUCACCCACACUGGAACUGAGACAGGGUCCAGACUCCUACGGGAGGCAGCAGUGGGGAAUAUUGGACAAUGGGCGCAAGCCUGAUCCAGCCAUACCGCGUGGGUGAAGAAGGACUUCGGGUUGUAAAGCCCUUUUGUUGGGAAAGAAAAGCAGCAGGUUAAUACCCCGCUGUUCUGACGGUACCCAAAGAAUAAGCACCGGCUAACUUCGUG